AGGGAAACUUUAUUACUUCUUUCUUUUUUCUCUCUCUUUCUCACUCUCUCACGCCUCUGCCCUCCUCCAGCUCUCUCUCUCGCCUUUGUCUCCAUCGUCGUCGGGUACGGGAGCAUCACUGCCAUCGCACACGAGCACCACCGUCACUGCGUAUGCGAUUCCACUUUGAUCGACUCAGCCCUUCCUCUUUGAUCUCUCUGAAAUUAUCUCUAGAUCGACCAAGGAUCUCCGGGCCACCAUUAUCACAGGUGAGUCUUUUGACUGAAAAUGGAAACACCAAGGAUGAUUUGAGGCUCCCCACUGAUGAUGCUCUGCUCUCCACUGAAAAUUCUAGCCAUGACUGGUCAUUGACAGGUCAUUUGGCUUUGAUACUGCUGUUGAGGAAGCUCAGCGAGCCAUCAAUGCUGCGCAUGUUGAAGCUGAAAGUGUUGAGAAUGGUGUUGGUGUAGUGAAGCUAAUGGGCCGCUACAGUGUAUUCAAUGUAGAAAUCGCUAAUAUCAAAAGCUGAAAUCGCAAACAAAGCAUUCCAAAAUGAAUCAUUUCAUUUCAAGUGUGGUUUCUUAUCUCACAGAGAUUUACUGGUGCAGGCUUCAUUGCAAUGUAUGCUACACUUGCCAGCCGAGAUGUGGACUGUUGUUUGAUUCCAGAAUCACCCUUCUUUCUGGAAGUGGUAGUGGAUGUAAUAGAUAUUGGUGAACAUGUUCUAAAACUCGUUAAUUUUGUUGUUUGGAAAUGUUGGAAAAGGCAAUAGCAACUCCUCCAACUGUUUCACCAAUAUGGUGUUCCCCAUUACUUGAGGUAUGUGUAGAAUUAAAAUUAUGUCAUAAAAUUCUCUACUCAACUUUUUUAAUGAUCCCAUUGAAUGAAAUUUCUAACUACGCUAGUUCUACUAUAUUUGAAGU
This is a non-coding RNA of Camellia sinensis, 902 nucleotides long. NCBI's taxonomy places the organism in Eukaryota, Viridiplantae, Streptophyta, Magnoliopsida, Ericales, Theaceae. The record is from RefSeq and is a predicted model, not a curated record.